GUUAAUUUCAGGGAUUGUGGACGAUUUCAUCCAUUUUAGUCAAAAGAAAUAACCCAAAAUCCUAACGCGCUUGAUGGAAAAGUAGACACCGAGAGAAGCAGAUAGAGAUGAAGGGAGGUGUGAGCUUUCUCAACGCUUCCCCUAUCCCUCAGUUACUACCAUUACCAAACGACAGGCUCUCCAUUGCCAGAGUCUAUACGUCAAAACGACGUCGUCUUAGGGCGGAGAUCGAACUUAGGGUUUGCGUCAACCGGACUUGCCGGAGGCAAGGUUCUCUGCAAACCCUCGAAACCCUUUCCGGCAUAGCUUCCCCCGACGUCGCCGUCAAGUCUUGCGGCUGUCUCGGCCGUUGCGGCGCCGGCCCCAACCUCGUGGCGCUUCCAGACGGCGUCAUCGUCGGACACUGUGGGACGGCUGCUCGUGCUGCAGAAGUUAUGAUGAGCUUCGUCGCCGGCGAUGCUCAGGGGAGUUUGGCUGCUUUGGCAUUGAGGAAGAGAGCUGAGAAUGAGUUGGAAAAAAAUAAUUUCUCGGAGGCUGAGCUUUUGCUUUCUCAGGCUAUAGAUCUUAAACCAUCCGGAGGUAUCCAUAUCAUAUAUAAAGUCAGGUCUUCUGCAAGGUUGACAAUGGGCAACUAUGCUGGUGCUCUGGAAGAUGCUAAUGAAGCUCUGACAUUAGCUCCUCGAUAUCCUGAGGCUUAUAUUUGUCAGGGAGAUGCUUUCUUGGCUAUGGACCAGUUUGAUGAUGCUGAAAAAUCAUACUCGACAUGUUUAGAGCUCGAUCCCUCCAUUCGUCGUUCCAAAUCAUUCAGGGCUCGGGUUGCAAAGCUUCAAGAGAAACUCAGUGCUGCAAGUACACGUUAAGAUAUUUAAUCUAACUGAAGUUAAGCGAGAAUAAAUGGAAUUAAUUCUGGAUCCCUUUGUCGUUUCCAGGUCGAUGUAUGGGUCGGCUAAUUCCAGUUCUGUGAUCUUGUGAAGAGAGGACAUAAUUCACUCUUUGGAGGAUUUUCUUGGUAACCAUUCAAUCCCUUUGUUCUGUAUAUAGCUAUAUUUUCUCUGUUUCUGAGCAUACUCGGUUGUUUCUUUUUAUUGUAAAAACAAAAUCACAUAGACAUUGUCAUAUGAGUCACAGGGACAACCUGUGUCCUGUGUUUGUUCUUGUUACGUAGCUUAAUGAUCUGGUUCAAUUUUUUUUGUUAUUUCAAUCGUUUUCCUUUAUAAUGUUAUUUAAAUUUAUUCCUGUAUCAACAAUAUUGUUGAUUGGGCAA
RNA transcript from Vitis vinifera (wine grape), 1264 nucleotides. RefSeq lists it as uncharacterized. NCBI's taxonomy places the organism in Eukaryota, Viridiplantae, Streptophyta, Magnoliopsida, Vitales, Vitaceae. The transcript is spliced from 6 exons. The record is from RefSeq and is a predicted model, not a curated record.